GGAGUUGUAGCUCAAUGGUAGAGCACUUACCUAGCACACAUGAAGCACUGGGUUCGGUCCUCAGCACUACA
RNAcentral lists this transfer RNA (71 nucleotides) under Marmota monax (woodchuck). RNAcentral's name for it is "tRNA.Ala". The record is from RNAcentral. Lineage: Eukaryota; Metazoa; Chordata; Mammalia; Rodentia; Sciuridae.